UGGGGAAUAUUGCACAAUGGAGGGAACUCUGAUGCAGCGACGCCGCGUGAGUGAUGAAGGAAUUCGUUUCGUAAAACUCUGUUCUAUGGGAAGAAAAGGACUGUACCAUAGGAGAAAGCUCCGGCUAAAUACGUGCCAGCAGCCGCGGUAAUACGUAUGGAGCGAGCGUUGUCCGGAAUUAUUGGGCGUAAAGGGUGCGCAGGCGGCUUACAAGUUGGAUGUGAAAUAUUGUGGCUCAACCACAAACGUGCAUCCAAAACUGCAAAGCUUGAGUUAAGGAGAGGUAAGUGGAAUUCCUGGUGUAGCGGUGGAAUGCGUAGAUAUCAGGAGGAAUACCGGUGGCGAAGGCGACUUACUGGACUUAAACUGACGCUCAGGCACGAAAGCGUGGGGAGCAAACAGG
This 403-nucleotide ribosomal RNA is filed under the name Fusobacteriota bacterium. RNAcentral's name for it is "Fusobacteria bacterium partial 16S ribosomal RNA". It matches the Rfam family "Bacterial small subunit ribosomal RNA", at positions 355 to 776 of the family's 1533-position model. Lineage: Bacteria; Fusobacteriati; Fusobacteriota. The record is from RNAcentral.